GUGAAUCAUCGAAUCUUUGAACGCAAAUUGCACUCUCUGGCAUUCCGGAGAGUAUGCCUGUUUGAGGGUCAGCCUGAAAAAAAAUCGACAUAGUCGCUGUUUCGCGGUGACAUGCGUCGGAAAUUGGGUCAUCUUAAACCUUUUGGAUGUAAGCGGCUUAAAAUUUGCUUUACGAUUCCACGAACGUUUCUAAUAUUUACUUCUUAUA
This 208-nucleotide unclassified non-coding RNA is filed under the name Glomus sp. Its description in RNAcentral is "partial contains 5.8S ribosomal RNA and internal transcribed spacer 2". The stretch from base 1 to 71 matches the Rfam family "5.8S ribosomal RNA", at positions 84 to 154 of the family's 154-position model. Lineage: Eukaryota; Fungi; Glomeromycota; Glomeromycetes; Glomerales; Glomeraceae. The record is from RNAcentral.